ACCAGACUCCUACGGGAGGCAGCAGUGGGGAAUAUUGCACAAUGGGCGAAAGCCUGGUGCAGCGACGCCGCGUGAGUGAAGAAGUAUUUCGGUAUGUAAAGCUCUAUCAGCAGGGAAGAAAAUGACGGUACCUGACUAAGAAGCCCCGGCUAACUACGUGCCAGCAGCCGCGGUGAUACGUAGGGGGCAAGCGUUAUCCGGAAUCACUGGGUGUAAAGGGAGCGUAGACGGCUGAGCAAGCCUGAAGUGAAAGGCGGGGGCCCAACCCCUGGACUGCUUUGGGAACUGUACGGCUGGAGUGCAGGAGAGGUAAGUGGAAUUCCUAGUGUAGCGGUGAAAUGUGUAGAUAUUAGGAGGAACACCAGUGGCGAAGGCGGCUUACUGGACUGUAACUGACGUUGAGGCUCGAAAGCGUGGGGAGCAAACAGGAUUAGAUACCCCUGUAC
Molecule: ribosomal RNA, 446 nt
Filed under: uncultured bacterium
Lineage: Bacteria
Description: bacterial SSU rRNA
Rfam family: Bacterial small subunit ribosomal RNA
Source: RNAcentral